Molecule: ribosomal RNA, 929 nt
Filed under: Neobothriocephalus aspinosus
Lineage: Eukaryota; Metazoa; Platyhelminthes; Cestoda; Bothriocephalidea; Echinophallidae
Description: eukaryotic LSU rRNA
Rfam family: Eukaryotic large subunit ribosomal RNA
Source: RNAcentral
CCGAAGCCUGCGGCAGUUUUGCUGUUAGGCAAUGUGGUGUUUAGGUCGGCUCGCGGGACUGCUGCUCCAUUCUAAGUCCAGCUUUGAGUAUGGCUUCUGGACUUGGCCCACAGAGGGUGAAAGGCCCGUUCGAAUGGAGGAUAAGAGAAGUGAGUAGUCCACUAUGCCGGCCUUCGAGUCGGGUUGUUUGAGAAUGCAGCCCAAAGAGGGUGGUAGACUCCAUCCAAGGCUAAAUACUAGCACGAGUCCGAUAGCGAACAAGUACCGUGAGGGAAAGUUGAAAAGUACUUUGAAGAGAGAGUAAACAGUACGUGAAACCGCAUAGAGGUAAACGGGUGGCGUCAAGCUGCACGCUUAGAGGAUUCAGUCGGUCAGGAUGUUGUGUAUGCGCCUGGCGCAUCUAUCAGUCGGAGUGAGAUAAAGUAGUCCGUUGGGUAACAGCGGGCCCGGCCGAAAGGCUGGGAUUUGUAUUCCGUGUUAUGUGCGGAGCUUGCUACUUGUCUAUGGACUGCCUGGCCGAUGCAUUUUCUCUGUGGCGAACACCACGACCGGUGGUACUGCCAGUCUGCUGUGGUAAAGUCGGGUUCAGUCGGCCUUGUGUUGGUUGAGCUUGAUCAUAGGCAAGCGGUGUGCGGGUGCGUUCGUACUUGUACACCGCUUUGUCAACGGGUCUGUUUGCUGACGAUUGUAGUAGUUGGCGAAUGGCCUGGUGGACCAUGGUGGUAAGAAUAACUGUGCAGGGCACCGGUGAUUUCGGUCUCUAAUUUGGCUCGCUCACACACUACAAGUGGGUGUGGGUCGUCGUUGCAGUCUGCCUGUGAUUGGGUUUGAUUGUCGUGUUGCCUGCGCAAAGUAGGUCCGGCAGUAGCCUGAUUUUGGAUGGUAUUGCUAGCGGCGUCUCUUCUGCGGGCUGAUGAGGGCCUAAUAGU